CUUCUUUGUGGGUAUUUUUCCUCCCUCUCUGCAGAGCUUUCCUGAGUGUGAUUAAAAAUGGCAAGUAAAUUAGCAUGUGAAAGUAUGCGUGAGGGGGAAAACGGUCCUACAGGAGGUCACAGCGUCAUGACACGGUUCCAGUUUCCCCAGGUGUACCUGCGACUCCAGGCUGAGCAAGGGGAGGUGAAAUCUGACUCUUGGCAAAGCCCAGCCCCUGCAUGGCUUUCUUUCUUCCCAGAAUCGCUGUGACUCUCCUUUGAAAGAUGCUUCAGCUCACCCCGGAUGUUCCCUGCCAUCUCCCCUCCCGGAUGCCGGUGCGGCUGGCAGGCAGAUCAAUUGGUCCAGCAGCUCUGCCAUCCAAGACACAGAGCUGGGCUGACAUCUCCCAGAGAGGCCCAGAGAUUCAAGUCUGGGCACCUGGGUCUCUGUUCAGCGCCGAGCAACAGGCAGGCACCAGGCUCGCUGUCAGCUGAGCAGUGAAAAGGGACAAGCUGCUGUGUCAAAAGUGACACGUCGGCUUCUGCUGGUCUUGCAAAGAUAUCGGCAGUGAUGUGACUGUGGGCUGACAAAGGCAACAGAAGUGGCUGCUUUCUGGGCUGGAUUGAAAUUCAUCAGCUCCCUGUGUUCACGGCGAUGAUUUCCAAUGCUAAUUCUCAGCGAGCCAGGCAUGAAAUAUAUUCACGGGCGCUGCUUGUGAGGGCCCUUUGGAGUUAUUUGAGGUACCUGUGAUGAAAACAUCUGUGCCACUUGCUUUUGUGUGUUUUUGUUCCCUUGGUUUCAAUUAUGCAGGCAACGAACCUUUGGGGGGAGAGAAAGAGCAAGAGAGAGAUGGGGGGCUUGCUGAUGUCGCCCCUUUCCUUCCUGAUAAGAGCAGGAGGCUGGAUGCUGCCUGAACAGGAGAUGUGGGGGAGAAGAGGGGCGACAUUCAUCUCCCAUAGCUGCAGCACGCCGAUCAUGCAGAUGAGGUUGUCUAAAAGCUUCCCCUGUCCCAUGGAGUGCCUUGGGGUCCCCGAGCCAUUCUCUCCUGACAGGACAAACGCAGGAAAGAUACACUCUCUACCAUGGCGCCCGGGGCUCAGCACCAUGUGGUCUUGGCCAAGCCCUGCCCCUCACACCCACCAGGACCUCAGGCCUCA
Molecule: long non-coding RNA, 1136 nt
Filed under: Fukomys damarensis (Damara mole-rat)
Lineage: Eukaryota; Metazoa; Chordata; Mammalia; Rodentia; Bathyergidae
Description: lncRNA (ENSFDAG00000032754.1)
Source: RNAcentral